AAAUAUCAAUCUUUACUUAGCUAUAGAAAUAUCAAUUGAGCGCACAUUUCAUUCUACACAAUCUUCGACGUUCCAACAAGCAUCAAUGAGAUCACCAACCUUAAAAAGAGAGAUCAAAAUGUAGCUGAAUGGGCUUUGAAUAUAAUCUUCGACAUCACCUACCUUCGUUACCAAAGAUUGAUGUGAUGAGAAGUGAUGGUGAAAUAUUGACCACCAUCCUCAAGGCCCCGCUUUUGAAAGCAUAGACCAAUUUCAGAGAAACAGCCAAUUUGUAAAAGUUCACGAAAGUCUUCGAAAAAAUACGACAAGUUCACAAAGUAAGUUUCGAUAUCUACUGACAUUACCCUGCAUGUAUCAUGGAAUAAUAGAAUUAUUUUUGAAGAAGAACAUGGUUAAUGUAUAUUACUGGUUAAUGUAAUCUUUGUGCCAUGCCUUUGUAUAUAUCUCCACUUUUAUGUCUACUCUUGUAUUUGCUGUUGUGUCUACCUUUAUGUCUACCUUGAAGAAUACGUUUGUGUUUAUGCCUUUA
Xenia sp. Carnegie-2017 is the source of this 529-nucleotide long non-coding RNA. RefSeq lists it as uncharacterized. The record is from RefSeq and is a predicted model, not a curated record. The transcript is spliced from 2 exons. Lineage: Eukaryota; Metazoa; Cnidaria; Anthozoa; Malacalcyonacea; Xeniidae.